This 71-nucleotide transfer RNA is filed under the name Capra hircus (goat). It matches the Rfam family "tRNA". From Rfam's summary of the family: Transfer RNA (tRNA) molecules are approximately 80 nucleotides in length. The record is from Rfam by way of RNAcentral. RNAcentral also lists the same sequence under 1 other name. Lineage: Eukaryota; Metazoa; Chordata; Mammalia; Artiodactyla; Bovidae.
UCCCUGGUGGCUCAGCAGUAAAGAAUCCGCCUGUAAUGCAGAAGACUCAGGUUCGAUCCCUGAGUCGGGAA